Non-coding RNA from Ictidomys tridecemlineatus (thirteen-lined ground squirrel), 1269 nucleotides. The record is from RefSeq and is a predicted model, not a curated record. NCBI's taxonomy places the organism in Eukaryota, Metazoa, Chordata, Mammalia, Rodentia, Sciuridae.
AUCUAAAUAAAUGGAGAGUCCGCAAUUAUGAAUAGGAAUACCCAAUAAUGUUGACAUGUCUGUUUUUUUCAAACGUGUUCUAUAGAUUCAGUGCAAUCCCAGUUAAAAUCCCCGCAAUCUGACUGUAAAGUUCAUCUGGAGAAGGCCAACAGGAUGCUGAGUGACAGACCAGACAACGGACACUGCCCAACUUCAAGAUGAAGGGGUGGGGCAGUGAACUGAAAGCACAGAGAGGGUGACCAAUUCACCGAGGUUCACACAGCCAGAUGGGAACAUGGGUGGGAGCUGGUGGACCCCUGGGAGAACGCUCAGUGUGGGAGAAGAAUCUUCUCCCUGGCAUCCACCCAGCAUUCUUCCCCGAGGCCGAGAACCCACAGACCGUCCAUCCGCCUUGGUUGGGUGGGGACAGACACCGUCCCUGUGCACGGGACCAGCGACAACUUCUCUCCUGUGACUGUUCCUUUCACUAACAAGACGGACGAUGCUCCGCGCACUCAGUAGGUCUGCGGUGCCUGAGAGGGAGGAACUGAAGCCGCCCUGGGUCCGUCUGCCCCCUGUCUCUGCCCCUUCCUCUCCCAUCCUGGACGGUGGGGACCGCCUGGCGGGGAGGGUCCACCCUGUACAUUGCGGUCGGGGCUCCCGCGGGCCCCCGAUGGAGGCAAAGCCAACAGGGACCCCCGUGGCGCCGGCAAGGCCGUCCCUGCCUCCCGCCCCGCCGUCUGCCUGUCAGGGGACUUUGCUAGGGAAGCAGCUGCCCAGGCCCCGUCCCCUCCCGGCCCUCCGGUGGCGCGUGGCGGGGAGCCAGGAGCGGGCCGCUCAGGUGGGCCUGUCCAUCUGCUUUGGAGACCCUGCAACAGUCCUGGCACCACGUCAUCUCGUCCCUUCUCGACUGAAGCCACGAGCCGUCUCUUCGGGUCCUCCACCGUCCCCUCGCGGUGCCCUGGCUCUUGGGCCACGCUAAGGCCUGCAGAGCCCGGGAGCAGGAGGACAGGGCAGGGCAGCAGAUCCUGGUCCCCCGGGGAUGAGAGCCAGGGGCUCCCAGACGUCCCCUGCCCCCCAGCGUGUGGCUGAAGCCGCUGGAGAGGGGCAGGUCGGCGGCACCCCCUCCCCGACCCCUGGCCUGUUCUUCCUUAUCAUCUCAUUUAACUCCCUGGCCUCAGCGCCAGGCAGGUUUCAUUCUGUUGAGGAAACUGAGGUCAGGAGGGGCGUGGCCUACUGGGGGACCCGAGUGCCAGGGUCCUGCCUGGGGUCCUGAGUGCCAGGGUCCUG